RNAcentral lists this ribosomal RNA (201 nucleotides) under uncultured Pseudomonas sp. RNAcentral describes it as "partial 16S ribosomal RNA". It matches the Rfam family "Bacterial small subunit ribosomal RNA", at positions 152 to 355 of the family's 1533-position model. Lineage: Bacteria; Pseudomonadati; Pseudomonadota; Gammaproteobacteria; Pseudomonadales; Pseudomonadaceae. The record is from RNAcentral.
CGAAAGGAACGCUAAUACCGCAUACGUCCUACGGGAGAAAGCAGGGGACCUUCGGGCCUUGCGCUAUCAGAUGAGCCUAGGUGGAUUAGCUAGUUGGUGAGGUAAUGGCUCACCAAGGCGACGAUCCGUAACUGGUCUGAGAGGAUGAUCAGUCACACUGGAACUGAGACACGGUCCAGACUCCUACGGGAGGCAGCAGCC